This 421-nucleotide ribosomal RNA is filed under the name uncultured bacterium. RNAcentral's name for it is "bacterial SSU rRNA". It matches the Rfam family "Bacterial small subunit ribosomal RNA", at positions 30 to 454 of the family's 1533-position model. The record is from RNAcentral.
AUUGAACGCUGGCGGAAUGCUUUACACAUGCAAGUCGAACGGCAGCACGGGGCAACCUGGUGGCGAGUGGCGAACGGGUGAGUAAUACAUCGGAACGUGCCCAAUCGUGGGGGAUAACGUAGCGAAAGUUACGCUAAUACCGCAUACGAUCUACGGAUGAAAGCGGGGGAUCGCAAGACCUCGCGCGAGUGGAGCGGCCGAUGUCAGAUUAGGUAGUUGGUGGGGGUAAAGGCUCACCAAGCCAACGAUCUGUAGCUGGUCUGAGAGGACGACCAGCCACACUGGAACUGAGACACGGUCCAGACUCCUACUGGAGGCAGCAGUGGGAAUUUUGGACAAUGGGCGCAAGCCUGAUCCAGCCAUUCCGCGUGCAGGAUGAAGGCCUUCGGUUGUAAACUGCUUUUGUUACGGAACGAAACGG